CGAAAGCCUGACGGAGCAAGACCGCGUGAGGGAGGAAGGCUCUUGGUUUGUAAACCUCUUUUCUCAGGGAAGAAGCACUGACGGUACCUGAGGAAUCAGCAUCGGCUAACUCCGUGCCAGCAGCCGCGGUAAUACGGAGGAUGCAAGCGUUAUCCGGAUUUAUUGGGCGUAAAGCGUCCGCAGGUGGUAGUUCAAGUCGAUUGUCAAAGGCAGUAGCUUAACUACUGAGAGGCAGUGGAAACUGAAAGACUAGAGUGCGGUAGGGGUAGAGGGAAUUCCCGGUGUAGCGGUGAAAUGCGUAGAGAUCGGGAAGAACACCAGUGGCGAAAGCGCUCUGCUGGACCGGCACUGACACUGAGGGACGAAAGCUAGGGGAGCG
RNAcentral lists this ribosomal RNA (379 nucleotides) under uncultured cyanobacterium. RNAcentral's name for it is "bacterial SSU rRNA". It matches the Rfam family "Bacterial small subunit ribosomal RNA", at positions 376 to 770 of the family's 1533-position model. The record is from RNAcentral. Lineage: Bacteria; Bacillati; Cyanobacteriota.